Molecule: non-coding RNA, 24 nt
Filed under: Arabidopsis thaliana (thale cress)
Lineage: Eukaryota; Viridiplantae; Streptophyta; Magnoliopsida; Brassicales; Brassicaceae
Source: RNAcentral
ACACGGAGUACAAGCCAACACAUC